GACGAACGCUGGCGGCGUGCCUAAUACAUGCAAGUCGAGCGGAACUGGGGGAGCUUGCUCCUUCCAGUUUAGCGGCGGACGGGUGAGUAACACGUGGGCAACCUGCCCUGCAGAUCGGGAUAACUCCGGGAAACCGGUGCUAAUGCCGAAUAGUUUGGCGCCUCUCCUGAGGCGCUACGGAAAGACGGUUUCGGCUGUCACCGCAGGAUGGGCCCGCGGGGCAUUAGCUAGUUGGUGGGGUGACGGCCCACCAAGGCGACGAUGCGUAGCCGACCUGAGAGGGUGACCGGCCACACUGGGACUGAGACACGGCCCAGACUCCUACGGGAGGCAGCAGUAGGGAAUCUUCCGCAAUGGACGCAAGUCUGACGGAGCAACGCCGCGUGAGUGACGAAGGUUUUCGGAUCGUAAAACUCUGUUGUGAGGGAAGAACACGUACCAACUAACUAUUGGUACCUUGACGGUACCUCACCAGAAAGCCACGGCUAACUACGUGCCAGCCGCCGCAGUAA
RNAcentral lists this ribosomal RNA (512 nucleotides) under uncultured bacterium. RNAcentral's name for it is "partial 16S ribosomal RNA". It matches the Rfam family "Bacterial small subunit ribosomal RNA", at positions 28 to 523 of the family's 1533-position model. The record is from RNAcentral.